This 64-nucleotide transfer RNA is filed under the name Metagonimus yokogawai. Its description in RNAcentral is "tRNA-Trp". The record is from RNAcentral. Lineage: Eukaryota; Metazoa; Platyhelminthes; Trematoda; Opisthorchiida; Heterophyidae.
AACAAUCUAGGUUAAUUGAGACUGUCUGUCUUCAAAACGGGAGGUGGCUUGUCGCCGUUUGUUG